RNAcentral lists this long non-coding RNA (348 nucleotides) under Numida meleagris (helmeted guineafowl). RNAcentral's name for it is "lncRNA (ENSNMEG00000009667.1)". The record is from RNAcentral. Lineage: Eukaryota; Metazoa; Chordata; Aves; Galliformes; Numididae.
GCCCAUUCUCUAGGACCAUGUCCUUGCUGCUCCCAGCUACCUUUCCUGCUUCUCCUAGGCUCAGACUUGACUGUUUUGGACUUGGGGCUGAGCUCCCUGCUGUGCUGCAGCUCAGGAAAGAUUUUUGGCUACCGCGACUCUUGGGUAUAAGGUAAAAUACCACAGCAUCAAUCUCACCGGCCUUGAGAAAACUGCAGCAGCAAUCUGGCUCCCGUUGGGAAGGCCGAGCCUGGAACGGUGCAGAGUAUUUCCAAGCAGUCAUCUGUUAAUCUUGUCAUCCUGCAUCAGGCUCAUGCUUCUCACACUGCACGUUUCCAAACUGUACUGGCGAGAGAGAAGCGAACCCCU